This 405-nucleotide ribosomal RNA is filed under the name uncultured bacterium. RNAcentral's name for it is "bacterial SSU rRNA". It matches the Rfam family "Bacterial small subunit ribosomal RNA", at positions 29 to 424 of the family's 1533-position model. The record is from RNAcentral.
AAUGAACGCUGGCGGCGCGCCUAAUACAUGCAAGUCGAGCGAGAAGACGUAGCAAUACGUUUGUAAAGCGGCGAACGGGUGAGGAAUACAUGGGUAACCUACCCUCGAGUGGGGAAUAACUAGCCGAAAGGUUAGCUAAUACCGCGUACGCUUCUUGGACUUCGGUUCAGGGAGGAAAGCGAUACCGUGGGUAUCGCGCUCUUGGAUGGGCUCAUGUCCUAUCAGCUUGUUGGUGAGGUAACGGCUCACCAAGGCUUCGACGGGUAGCUGGUCUGAGAGGACGAUCAGCCACACUGGCACUGCGACACGGGCCAGACUCCUACGGGAGGCAGCAGUAAGGAAUAUUGCGCAAUGGGCGAAAGCCUGACGCAGCGACGCCGCGUGGGGGAUGAAGGUCUUCGGAUU